This 24-nucleotide microRNA is filed under the name Equus caballus (horse). Its description in RNAcentral is "eca-miR-3200". Lineage: Eukaryota; Metazoa; Chordata; Mammalia; Perissodactyla; Equidae. The record is from miRBase by way of RNAcentral.
CACCUUGCGCUACUCAGGUCUGCU